UGAAAGAGUGCGUAAUAGCUCACUGGUCUAGUGGCUGGGCGCCGACAAUGUAGCGGGGCUCAAGUACACCGCCGAAGCCGCGGCACUCACAGUUUUGACUGUGGGUGGGUAGGGGAGCGUCGUGCAGCCGUAGAAGCAGCAGGGUGACCUAGUUGUGGAGGCUGUGCGAGUGAGAAUGCAGGCAUGAGUAGCGAAUGACACGUGAGAAACGUGUCCUCCGGAUGACCAAGGGUUCCUGGGCUAGGUUAAUCCUCCCAGGGUGAGUCGGGACCUAAGGCGAGGCCGACAGGCGUAGUCGAUGGACAACGGGUUGAUAUUCCCGUACCCGUGUCAGAUCGCCCCUGAUGAAUCAGUUGUACUAACCGUCCUGAAGCCGCGAGAUCACCUUCGGGUGACGAGCUGGUGGAUGCACGGGACCUCGGCUGGUAGUAGUCAAGCGAUGGGGUGACGCAGGAAGGUAGUGGGGCCAGUCAGUGGUUGUACUGGUGUAAGCCUGUAGGGCGAGAUCUAGGCAAAUCCGGAUCUCAUCCAGCCUGAGAGGUGAUGCGUAGCCGUUGCGGUGAAUUCCAUGAUCCUAUGCUGCCGAGAAAAGCCUCUAGCGAGAUCUGAUGUGGCCCGUACCCCAAACCAACACAGGUGGUCAGGUAGAGAAUACCAAGGAGAUCGAGAGAACUGUGGUUAAGGAACUCGGCAAAAUGCCCCCGUAACUUCGGGAGAAGGGGGACCUCGCAUGGUGACCGGAUUUACUCCGUGAGCUGUGUGGGGUCGCAGAGACCAGAGAGAAGCGACUGUUUACUAAAAACACAGGUCCAUGCGAAGUCGUAAGACGAUGUAUAUGGACUGACGCCUGCCCGGUGCUGGAAGGUUAAGAGGACCGGUUAGCCGUAAGGCGAAGCUGAGAAUUUAAGCCCCAGUAAACGGCGGUGGUAACUAUAACCAUCCUAAGGUAGCGAAAUUCCUUGUCGGGUAAGUUCCGACCUGCACGAAUGGCGUAACGACUUCUCUGCUGUCUCAACCACAGACUCGGCGAAAUUGCAGUACGAGUAAAGAUGCUCGUUACGCGCGGCAGGACGAAAAGACCCCGGGACCUUCACUAUAGCUUGGUAUUGGUGUUCGGUUCGGUUUGUGUAGGAUAGGUGGGAGACUGUGAAGCGGGCACGCCAGUGUUCGUGGAGUCGUUGUUGAAAUACCACUCUGAUCGUAUUGGAUACCUCAACCUCGGACCAUGAUCUGGUUCAGGGACAGUGCCUGGUGGGUAGUUUAACUGGGGCGGUUGCCUCCCAAAAUGUAACGGAGGCGCCCAAAGGUUCCCUCAGCCUGGUUGGCAAUCAGGUGUUGAGUGCAAGUGCACAAGGGAGCUUGACUGUGAGACUGACAGGUCGAGCAGGGACGAAAGUCGGGACUAGUGAUCCGGCACCGGCAAGUGGAAGCGGUGUCGCUCAACGGAUAAAAGGUACCCCGGGGAUAACAGGCUGAUCUUCCCCAAGAGUCCAUAUCGACGGGAUGGUUUGGCACCUCGAUGUCGGCUCGUCGCAUCCUGGGGCUGGAGUAGGUCCCAAGGGUUGGGCUGUUCGCCCAUUAAAGCGGCACGCGAGCUGGGUUUAGAACGUCGUGAGACAGUUCGGUCUCUAUCCGCCGCGCGCGUUAGAAACUUGAGGAAGGCUGUCCCUAGUACGAGAGGACCGGGACGGACGAACCUCUGGUGUGCCAGUUGUUCCACCAGGAGCACGGCUGGUUGGCUACGUUCGGAAGGGAUAACCGCUGAAAGCAUCUAAGCGGGAAGCCUGUUCCAAGAUUAGGUUUCUCACCACCUUGAGUGGGUAAGACCCCCUACAGACUAUGGGGUUGAUAGGCCAGAACUGGAAGCGCAGUAAUGCGUGUAGGUGACUGGUACUAAUCGGUCGAGGGCUUACCACACA
This 1919-nucleotide ribosomal RNA is filed under the name Tsukamurella tyrosinosolvens. RNAcentral describes it as "bacterial LSU rRNA". It matches the Rfam family "Bacterial large subunit ribosomal RNA", at positions 1123 to 2925 of the family's 2925-position model. Lineage: Bacteria; Bacillati; Actinomycetota; Actinomycetes; Mycobacteriales; Tsukamurellaceae. The record is from RNAcentral.